GAGCACUUGUAAAAUAUCCAUUCAUAUAUCCGCUUCAGAUUUUGAUAUCGUGUUAGUACUAAAGAUUAUUUCUUAGUGUAAAGCAUGAAUGAUUCAUCUGUUUUGGAAGCAAAUUGAAUAAAUGCCUCGCAUAAAUAAAAGGACUACUGAAGAAGCAAAAUAGACUCAUGAUAAGGUUAAAGAAAGCCAAGGGAAUAAGGAAAAAUAAGUAUUUCUCCUAAAGACUCAUCUUCUUUGGUAAAUAAAAAUGUAUGAAUCACGAAGCGCUGAUGGAUCUUUUCUCUUCCAAAAAGGUUGGGUUUAUUGUCAACUAUUAAGUGUCCAAAUGAUUCUACCCUGUGUUAUGUAAUCAUUAGCUUCUUUUUUUAGUGUCUGCUCUCUGAAGAAAAAUAAUUUGUCUAUGCCUUUUUUUAAAUUAUAAAACAUCCUUUUACUAUUCAAAA
This is a long non-coding RNA of Argiope bruennichi, 443 nucleotides long. RefSeq lists it as uncharacterized. NCBI's taxonomy places the organism in Eukaryota, Metazoa, Arthropoda, Arachnida, Araneae, Araneidae. The transcript is spliced from 3 exons. The record is from RefSeq and is a predicted model, not a curated record.